CUUUUUGUGACAAAUCAAAUUUAAGGAACUGGACAAGAGAUUGAGAGGAGUGAUGUGGAGAGGUACAAAGAGUCUUCACUUGAUGAGUUAUAAUGGAGCAUUGAAGUGCCAUUGUUGUAGUCGUAGGAGUUACACCGAUGAAGUUGGGUAGACGAACAGUUUUGGAGUCGUUGGAGACGUCUGAGGCGAGUAGACUAAAGAAAAAGAAGCUAUAAGUUAUACAAUGGGCUGACUAUUUUGAUGGGUUUGGAUGGUUCGAGACCCAUCAUCUAAACAUUCGCGAUGACGUGGCAGUUUGAUUGGUGAAGAAUAUUUUGUCCUAUGUGGCACUUCUAAGAAGCCUCAAAAUUAGUAACUUUUAUAUAGUAGGAUUUAUGCUGCACAUGGUGCAGGAAAACACCUAAUAUUAUUUGAAUUUCAAAAACUAUCUGAUGCACUGACUUUUUGUGACAAAUCAAAUUUAAGGAACUGGACAAGAGAUUGAGAGGAGUGAUGUGGAGAGGUACAAAGAGUCUUCACUUGAUGAGUUAUAAUGGAGCAUUGAAGUGCCAUUGUUGUAGUCGUAGGAGUUACACCGAUGAAGUUGGGUAGACGAACAGUUUUGGAGUCGUUGGAGACGUCUGAGGCGAGUAGACUAAAGAAAAAGAAGCUAUAAGUUAUACAAUGGGCUGACUAUUUUGAUGGGUUUGGAUGGUUCGAGACCCAUCAUCUAAACAUUCGCGAUGACGUGGCAGUUUGAUUGGUGAAGAAUAUUUUGUCCUAUGUGACACUUCUAAGAAGCCUCAAAAUUAGUAACUUUUAUAUAGUAGGAUGCUGUCUUUUAAUGUAAUCUAACUUUACCAGGGCACUAAGGAACAUGUUAUUGAUAUUUGGGAUUUUAUUUGUUUUAUUAUUCAUGUUUUUGUUGAUUUUGAUUUCAUACCGCAUCAUUCAGAUUUAAAGCAUAUACAUUUUACUUUCAUUUUGCAUAAGUUUUAGGCUGUAUCCAUGUCCGACUUAACAAUAGGAAAAACUCUUGAGCAAAAAUAUUUUUAGGUCCUACAAUUAACUAAAUAUAAUUUUA
This 1063-nucleotide long non-coding RNA is filed under the name Brassica napus (rape). Its description in RNAcentral is "long non-coding RNA (BNAP_LNC006231)". Lineage: Eukaryota; Viridiplantae; Streptophyta; Magnoliopsida; Brassicales; Brassicaceae. The record is from RNAcentral.